This 253-nucleotide ribosomal RNA is filed under the name uncultured bacterium. RNAcentral describes it as "partial 16S ribosomal RNA". It matches the Rfam family "Bacterial small subunit ribosomal RNA", at positions 524 to 776 of the family's 1533-position model. The record is from RNAcentral.
UACGUAGGGUGCGAGCGUUGUCCGGAAUUAUUGGGCGUAAAGAGCUUGUAGGCGGUUUGUCGCGUCCGCCGUGAAAAUUCGAGGCUCAACCUCGAACUUGCGGUGGGUACGGGCAGACUAGAGUGUGGUAGGGGAGACUGGAAUUCCUGGUGUAGCGGUGAAAUGCGCAGAUAUCAGGAGGAACACCGAUGGCGAAGGCAGGUCUCUGGGCCACUACUGACGCUGAGAAGCGAAAGCAUGGGGAGCGAACAGG